This 73-nucleotide transfer RNA is filed under the name Candidatus Moraniibacteriota bacterium. RNAcentral's name for it is "tRNA-Thr". It matches the Rfam family "tRNA". Rfam says of the family: Transfer RNA (tRNA) molecules are approximately 80 nucleotides in length. The record is from RNAcentral. Lineage: Bacteria; Candidatus Moraniibacteriota.
GCCGAUGUAGCUCAGUUGGCAGAGCACCACCAUGGUAAGGUGUAGGUCAGCGGUUCAAAUCCGCUCAUCGGCU